AGUGAACGCUGGCGGUAGGCCUAACACAUGCAAGUCGAACGGCAGCACAGUAAGAUCUUGCUCUUACUGUUGGCGAGUGUCGGACGGGUGAGGUAUACAUCGUAAUCUACUUUUUCGUGGGUGAUUACGUAGGUCAACUUACGCUAAUACCUCAUACUACCUACUGGUGAAAUCAGUUGUUCUUCUUACCUUUCGCGUUUUUAUUAGCCGAUGUCGGAUUAGCUAGUUGUCUUGGUAAAGGCACACCAAGGCGACGAUCCGUACCUGGUCUGAGAGGAUGAUCAGCGACACUGGAACUGAGAAACGGUCAAGAGUCCUACGGGAGGAAGCAGUGGGGAAUAUGGGACAAUGGGCGAAAGCAUGAUACAGCAAUACAGCGUGGGUGAAGAAGGACUUAGGGUUGUAAAGAACGUUUGUUGGGAAAGAAAAGAAGCAGGAUAAAAACAGGAUGUUAUGACGGUAACGAAAGAAAAAGCAACGGCUAACUACGUG
RNAcentral lists this ribosomal RNA (492 nucleotides) under uncultured bacterium. Its description in RNAcentral is "partial 16S ribosomal RNA". It matches the Rfam family "Bacterial small subunit ribosomal RNA", at positions 29 to 507 of the family's 1533-position model. The record is from RNAcentral.